RNAcentral lists this ribosomal RNA (450 nucleotides) under uncultured bacterium. RNAcentral's name for it is "bacterial SSU rRNA". It matches the Rfam family "Bacterial small subunit ribosomal RNA", at positions 354 to 796 of the family's 1533-position model. The record is from RNAcentral.
GUGGGGAAUAUUGGACAAUGGGCGCAAGCCUGAUCCAGCCAUGCCGCGUGAGUGAAGAAGGCCCUCGGGUUGUAAAGCUCUUUUGUUGGGAAAGAAAAGCGUACGGUUAAUACCCGUGCGUCAUGACGGUACCCAAAGAAUAAGCACCGGCUAACUUCGUGCCAGCAGCCGCGGUAAUACGAAGGGUGCAAGCGUUACUCGGAAUUACUGGGCGUAAAGCGUGCGUAGGUGGUUCGUUAAGUCUGAUGUGAAAGCCCUGGGCUCAACCUGGGAAUUGCAUUGGAUACUGGCGGGCUAGAGUGCGGUAGAGGAUAGCGGAAUUCCUGGUGUAGCAGUGAAAUGCGUAGAGAUCAGGAGGAACAUCCGUGGCGAAGGCGGCUAUCUGGACCAGCACUGACACUGAGGCACGAAAGCGUGGGGAGCAAACAGGAUUAGAAACCCUAGUAGUCC